Molecule: long non-coding RNA, 1173 nt
Organism: Benincasa hispida (wax gourd)
Lineage: Eukaryota; Viridiplantae; Streptophyta; Magnoliopsida; Cucurbitales; Cucurbitaceae
Source: RefSeq, a predicted model, not a curated record
UUUUUAUCACACAAAAUGCUAGCCUCCAACCUCCACUUUCUCUCUAACUUCUCUCUAUAAAUUCUCUUCCUUUUUUCCUCCUAAAAGUUCAUGGAGACUACUCUUGAGUUCUUUGGAAUCCUAGAGAAUAGCAAGGUAACUUUAUUGGUGGUCUCCUUCUUCUUGGAGAAGUUCGAGAUCGUUAAUAAUGGUUGAAAAGGAAAGCUAGAGGAAUCUACAAAUGUGUUCACACGCUUCUGCGGGAAUUCAGUUCUUAUAGUUUGCCCAAAAGGACUCAUCAAAUUAGCUUGGUCUUAAGUGGAAGCAAGAGCAUCGGAGUAGAUGAAAUAACCUUCAACAAUAGAUGCUUUACGUUGUUUUUCUUUGGCAUCAUUCUUUUUUUUUUUUUUUUGGUUCUUUCUUUUUAAAAUGAAGCAGUCUUGAAUUAUAUGAUCUUUCUUCUUGCAGUACUUAUAUCUCAAUUUCUGUUUAGUUUUCUUAUCUUCAUUUUGAUGUUGUUUUCCGUUCUUCCAUUGGUUAAUUAAGGUUUAUUUUUAAUAUACAAACCUUCUCAGUGAGUUGUUCCCUUUUAGAGGAUUGUAUUUCCAUUUCUCUAGUUUUAAGGGCUUAAAUAAUAAUGUCAAUUGUGAUAGCAUCUCUCUCAUAUUUUAGAGCAUUCUUGACUUCUCUAUAAGCUUCAUGUGGGAAGUUAAUAAGCAUAAAUGCUUCAUUCUCUUCACCAAGUUUUUCUCUAAGACUUUUAAAUUCCGUAACAAGUUUCUUGUAUUUAUCUAAAUUGUCUAACAGGGGCUUGGAAGGAUCCAUAUUGAAGUCACCAUUUAUGGGAGUUUUGAUGGAUCCAAGAGGGCCUUAAGAGCCUUUUGCUGACCAAGCAAAACUCUAAUUUUUGCCUUCCACAAGGCAAAAUCACCCUUACCAUUAAACUUUUCAAACUCCACUUUAGCUACUGUCAUCUCAAGAGGAUCACUAGCACAGGCCCAAAUGUGAAUCACACGUCCAAGAAAGUGUGUAAGAAGCCCACUUAGUAAGCCUUGGCUCGAGCACUGCUUUCAAUAGGUGGAAAGGAAAGCUGAGAAGCAUCCACAACAAGAAGCUGAGCCUUUUACACGUGGGUGGAUGAGAUGGAGAGAUCUUCACCUACUUGUGCUUACUCAAAUGAACGAAACCACUCUG